RNAcentral lists this long non-coding RNA (270 nucleotides) under Oryza sativa Indica Group (long-grained rice). RNAcentral describes it as "lncRNA OsLima_08g0009390". The record is from RNAcentral. Lineage: Eukaryota; Viridiplantae; Streptophyta; Magnoliopsida; Poales; Poaceae.
CCGACCACACCGUCUCCUCGCGUUUUCUCUCACGAGAGGAGGAAUCAGCGAAGAAAGCGCCGCCGCUUCACCCGCGUCGCCUCCUCCGCCGCCAUCCCUUUUCCUCCCUCUAACUCCCUAAUUCUGCCGAGCUUCUUCGCCGCAACCACCGUUCGUCGUCCAAGUUUCACCGGCUGUUGGAUCCAGUGCCUCACAGCUGAGGAGCAUCUCCGCCUCGACCGUGGGCUAGGUGUCAUCGCAAGCUGCCGGCGCUGGUUCAUCUCCGCCUGA